GACGAACGCUGGCGGCGUGCUUAACACAUGCAAGUCGAACGGUAAGGCCCUUCGGGGUACACGAGUGGCGAACGGGUGAGUAACACGUGGGUGAUCUGCCCUGCACUUCGGGAUAAGCCUGGGAAACUGGGUCUAAUACCGGAUAGGACCACUGCCUGCAUGGGUGGUGGUGGAAAGCUUUUGCGGUGUGGGAUGGGCCCGCGGCCUAUGAGCUUGUUGGUGGGGGGUUGGCCUACCAAGGCGACGACGGGUAGCCGGCGUGAGAGGGAGACCGGCCACACGGGGACUGAGAUACGGCCCAGAAUCCUACGGGAGGCAGCAGUGGGGAAUAUUGCACAAUGGGCGCAAGCCUGAUGCAGCGACGCCGCGUGAGGGAUGACGGCCUUCGGGUUGUAAACCUCUUUCAGCACCGACGAAGCGCAAGUGACGGUAGGUGCAGAAGAAGGACCGGCCAACUACGUGCCAGCCGCCGCCGUAA
RNAcentral lists this ribosomal RNA (478 nucleotides) under uncultured bacterium. RNAcentral describes it as "partial 16S ribosomal RNA". It matches the Rfam family "Bacterial small subunit ribosomal RNA", at positions 28 to 523 of the family's 1533-position model. The record is from RNAcentral.